This 402-nucleotide long non-coding RNA is filed under the name Eucalyptus grandis. RNAcentral's name for it is "long non-coding RNA (EGRA_LNC001717)". The record is from RNAcentral. Lineage: Eukaryota; Viridiplantae; Streptophyta; Magnoliopsida; Myrtales; Myrtaceae.
AUCGGCGACGACGACGGCAGCUACAUGGACGACAACAACGGCUGACUUCUCGAUGGGACGCGGCGCGGCAGCAACACAGAGCCUCUUGGCCAAUCGGGAUUGAGGCCGAGGCUAGGGUUUCAAAAAAAGGGGGCGGCGAGGGGUGGCGAGCGAAAACGGCGACGGCCAAGAGGGGGCUGAUACCUGCUUAUGGAGAGGGUAUGGCGCGGCAGCGUGGGAAAAGGCGAUGACCCAGCACAAGCGGAACUCCGCGACGGGGGCUCCGAGUCGCGGCGGUUCUUUGAGCUCUGAAGCAGCAACGGAUCUGGGGGGGUGCAGGUGCGACGACGGGGCAGCUACGGCGGUCCGUUAGCUUCUCAGAUCUGGCACCUUUCCCUCCGAUUCCUCUCUCUCAGAUCCGAC